Amphiprion ocellaris (clown anemonefish) is the source of this 1014-nucleotide long non-coding RNA. RefSeq lists it as uncharacterized. NCBI's taxonomy places the organism in Eukaryota, Metazoa, Chordata, Actinopteri, Pomacentridae. The transcript is spliced from 3 exons. The record is from RefSeq and is a predicted model, not a curated record.
AGUUUUCGGUUUCACAACGGCUGAUUGGAGUUGGUUUAAUCAACUCGGAGUAGUUUCACCCAGAGUGCACCGCAACUAUAAAAAGACAGAAUCAAUGGAACCCCGAUUCGACGAGUCACCAUGGUGACGGGGGAGCGGAGAGCUACGUUUUUUUUACACCACUUGAACUGGACAUCUUAAUGCGUUCAUAUGGCGACUUCGAACAUGUUUUUAGAAAGAAGUGCAGCACCUGCAGCUGCAAAAGAGAGGGAGACGGCGUGGGAGAACAUUGCUGCCCGGGUCAAUGCGUAAGUUUAAAUCACAAUAAUAUUACAGGAAAACUGUUUAAUAGCAGCCUAUUCUGUUAUUUCAUUUAGGUGCAAUCCUGCAGGGGAGAAGCGCAUGUGGCAGCAGCUGAAGAUGAAAUAUAAGAACAUUGUUCAAACAGCCAACAGAAAGAAAGCAGAUGCCUGUAAAAAGGGAGGUGGCCCAGCAGCACCACCUGUAACGGAGGCAGAGGAGCUGGUCCUAAGCCAGAAUUUGGGAAGGCCAGUGGCUGAGGGAAUCCCUGGAGGGAGCUCAUCCUCUGAGACCACAUCCCAAGACACAACUGCGUGUGUGUGCGAGUGCGCGCAGCCACAGCGAUGGCAUGCGUGAAGGGGUGUGCUUUAAAGAUGGCAAGAGGAAAAGGUGCAACAGAAAAUUGGACCUUCCAAGCGUCCUUGUGGAGAUGCAGGCUGAGAAGGAGCGGAACCAGCACCCAGCAUGACGAGAACAUCUGGUUGCUCCUCAGCGAGGCAGGAGAGAAUGAAGCUGCCUUGCAGUGGAGGAGAUGGUCCAGAAUACUGCCUUCAACCAGUCAUUGCUGGGUGUACUGGGGCAGCUGGUGCAGGCAGUGGGCAGCCAGCGAGUCCACCUCCCAGAGACUUGAGAUUUAGUUGUAUAUAGUUUUACUUUUAGCCCUCCACUGUAGGAGAGGCCUACCACAGUUUGUACUUCGCACAUUGUAAAUAGUUUUGAUUUUGCUGCUGACUA